This is a long non-coding RNA of Ictalurus punctatus (channel catfish), 680 nucleotides long. RefSeq lists it as uncharacterized. NCBI's taxonomy places the organism in Eukaryota, Metazoa, Chordata, Actinopteri, Siluriformes, Ictaluridae. The transcript has 2 exons. The record is from RefSeq and is a predicted model, not a curated record.
GCUAAGGCCCGCCUCUUAGCUGUUCACGCUAGAUAGGGAGAUGGGAAGUGAUACCAGUGGUAACUGAAUCAUCGUAGCAGUAUAUUGAUACUUACUUUAUGUUACGGGUGUAAACUACUAACAGUGUGGAAUACCACAAGAGAGUCUAAUUCGAAGGGCAUGCUCAAGCUAACGUGCCAUUCCAUUGCACUGUCAGGUUUUAUUGUUGGAUUCAGAUGUUGAGUGAUCGCGGUUAUUGGUGGAGUCCGGACCGGCGGUGGAGAUUCUGGAGAUCCUUGGAGAAACUGUUCCAGUACUGGAUGGCGAGCCAACCCCACCUGAUAUAGAGCCUGGUUGUAGCUAGGAGGUUGCAACCUAGAGACACUGAGCCAGAGAGCCUUGAUCUAUUUCCCCUUGGCCCAAGGUGUCAGGUAGAACUGUGUGCAAAUGACACUUGCUUUCCCUGGAGGAAGCCACCCACCUUGCUUUAAUCCAAUAUUGGUGCAAUCAAUGGACUGUGAACUUUAUUUUAACAGACCCUGGUCUAGUCUAAUUUGAGUGCACUCACAACUGCACUGAGCUUUUAUUAUUUUGACACUUUUCUUCUUUUGUAUAUUUGGGUUUCCACUUCUCCAUUUUAUUACUUUGCCAUUGCACUUGUUCUUAUUGUUCAUUGCAGUUAAUAUAUGCAGUUAAACUUA